UACGGGGGGAGCAAGCGUUGUUCGGAUUUACUGGGCGUAAAGGGCUCGUAGGCGGCCAACUAAGUCAGACGUGAAAUCCCUCGGCUUAACCGGGGAACUGCGUCUGAUACUGGAUGGCUUGAGGUUGGGAGAGGGAUGCGGAAUUCCAGGUGUAGCGGUGAAAUGCGUAGAUAUCUGGAGGAACACCGGUGGCGAAGGCGGCAUCCUGGACCAAUUCUGACGCUGAGGAGCGAAAGCCAGGGGAGCAAACGGG
This 253-nucleotide ribosomal RNA is filed under the name uncultured bacterium. RNAcentral's name for it is "partial 16S ribosomal RNA". It matches the Rfam family "Bacterial small subunit ribosomal RNA", at positions 524 to 776 of the family's 1533-position model. The record is from RNAcentral.